GUCGCUAAUUAAUUAACGGACUUUGAUAAAACCCCACCGGUGCAGUGUACGCACACAUAUAUAUAUAUGUAUAUAUACACGGCGCAGCGUACAGCGUUGUUCGGCCGUCGCGUUAAAAACUUUUUUUUUUUUCACGGCCCGGCGGUAAUUAGAACUGUUCGUGAUGGGAUUCGCGGGCGGGGUCGGACGAGCGCGGGCGGAGCGCGACCG
Molecule: non-coding RNA, 210 nt
Organism: Cinara cedri
Lineage: Eukaryota; Metazoa; Arthropoda; Insecta; Hemiptera; Aphididae
Source: the annotation of a GenBank genome assembly